UUCGUUACGAGCUUGUACACAGGCUUCUAAAGCCACUCGAUUAGCUGCUGCACCAGGUGCAUUUCCCCAAGGAUGUCCUAAAGUUCCUCCACCAAAUUGUAAUACAGAAUCGUCCCCAAAGAUUUCGGUCAGAGCUGGCAUAUGCCAAACAUGAAUACCACCUGAAGCUACCGGUAUAACACCUGGCAUGGAUACCCAGUCCUGAGUGAAAAAGAUACCGCGAGCACGAUCUUUUUCAAUAAAAUCAUCGCGUAAUAAAUCAACAAAACCUAAAGUCAUUUCGCGUUCCCCUUCUAACUUACCUACUACUGUACCAGAGUGGAUAUGAUCUCCCCCAGACAUACGCAAUGCUUUAGCUAAUACACGGAAAUGCAUACCAUGAUUUUUCUGUCUAUCAAUAACUGCAUGCAUUGCACGGUGAAUGUGAAGAAGUAGGCCAUUGGCGCGGCAAUAAUGAGCCAAAGUAGUAUUUGCGGUGAAUCCCCCAGUUAAGUAGUCAUGCAUUACAAUAGGAACCCCUAAUUCUCUUGCAAAUACAGCUCUCUUAAUCAUUUCUUCACAUGUACCCGCAGUCGCAUUCAAGUAAUGCCCCUUGAUUUCACCGGUUUCGGCCUGUGAUUUAUAAAUAGCUUUGGCACAAAAGACAAAACGGUCUCUCCAGCGCAUAAAUGGUUGUGAGUUUACGUUUUCAUCAUCUUUGGUAAAAUCAAGUCCACCAUGUAGACACUCAUAACACGCUCUACCAUAAUUUUUUGCGGAUAAUCCCAAUUUUGGUUUAAUAGUACAUCCCAAUAAAGGACGACCAUACUUGUUCAACUUAUCUCUUUCAACUUGGAUACCAUGAGGCGGGCCUUGGAAUUUUUUUGAAUAAGUAGGGGGAAUUCGUAGAUCCUCCAAACGUAGAGUACAUAGGGCUUUGAAACCAAAUACGUUACCUACAAUGGAAGUAAACAUGUUAGUAACGGAACCCUCUUCAAAUAGGUCUAAUGGAUAAGCUACAUAACAGAUCCAUUGGUUGUCUUCCCCAGCAACAGGCUCGAUGUGAUAGCAUCGUCCUUUGUAACGAUCAAGACUGGUAAGUCCAUCAGUCCAAACAGUUGUCCAUGUACCAGUAGAAGAUUCGGCAGCUACUGCAGCCCCUGCUUCUUCGGGCGGAACCCCAGGCUGAGGACUUACUCGGAAUGCUGCCAAGAUAUCAGUAUCCUUAGUUUCAUACUCUGGGGUGUAGUAAGUCAAUUUAUAAUCUUUAACACCAGCUUGAAAUCCAACACCUGCUUUAGUUUCUGUUUGUGGUGACAUAAGUCCCUCCCUAUAACUCUUGAAUUAAGAAUUCUCACAAUAACAGGGUCUACUCGAUGUUAAUUAGGCGUAAAUGAAACUUUAGAAAAAAUCUCGUAAAACAAAAAAAAGGAUAUUCAAUUAAUAUAAUAUCAACUCAUUAAAGAAAAUUGAGGGCAUGCUUAGGUUAAUGAAUAUGUUUCAUUCAUAUAUAAUGCGUACACCCUGUGUAUGUUCUAUCCUAUAGGAAUUCCACUAUAGGAAUUCGAUAGGAAUUGAGUUGUUGUUAUGGUAAGUUAACACGGUUCGUUAUUAAACCAUGGAUUUGAUUUACCAAAUCCAUAAUUAUUGUAUACUCUUUGAUAGAUAUAGCGCAACCAAAAUUAAUUCCUAAUCCUUAUUUUACAAGUUCUUAAUAGUUCUCUUUUCUUAUUUUGAAUGCAAAUACCUAACUAAAUACUAAUAAAAUUCUUUGUUGACAGCAAUCUAUGCUUCACAGUAGUAUAUAUUUUGUAUAUCGAAGUCCUAGAUAGGAAAGUAGAGUAGGCACAGAUCCUCCACAAAAGGCAAAAUGUAUGUAUAUGAAAAAAAGAUUGAUUGAACUUUCCAACGGACUCAUUCCAUGAGUAAACGAUUGAAUGGGAUUCGCUUGGGCAACGAAAUCAAGUCCUGGUCCCCUUUUCUCUCUUAUUGAAUUAACUAAUUCAUUUCCUUUUUACUUUUGGAUUUUUUUUGAUUUGAUUUGGCAUUAUUCAACAAUAAAAAAAGAAAAAUUUCGACAAAUUCCUUUUUUUAAUUAUGUGAUAAUUAUGAGAACCAAUCCUACUACUUCUCCUCCCGGGGUUUCCACAAUUGAAGAAAAAAGUACAGGUCGUAUCGAUCAAAUUAUUGGACCCGUGCUAGAUGUCACUUUUCCCCCAGGCAAGUUACCUUAUAUUUAUAACGCUUUGGUAGUCCAGAGUAGAGACACUGCCGAUAAGCAAAUUAAUGUGACUUGUGAGGUACAACAAUUAUUAGGAAAUAAUCGAGUUAGAGCUGUAGCUAUGAGUGCUACGGACGGGUUGAUGAGAGGAAUGGAAGUGAUUGACACGGGAGCUCCUCUCAGUGUUCCGGUCGGUGGAGCUACUCUCGAACGAAUUUUCAACGUUCUUGGGGAGCCUGUUGACAAUUUGGGUCCUGUAGAUAGUAGUGCAACGUUCCCUAUUCAUAGAUCUGCGCCUGCCUUUAUCGAGUUAGAUACGAAAUUAUCCAUCUUUGAAACAGGUAUUAAGGUCGUCGAUCUUUUAGCUCCUUAUCGACGUGGAGGAAAAAUAGGACUAUUUGGGGGGGCUGGAGUAGGUAAAACAGUACUGAUCAUGGAAUUAAUCAAUAACAUUGCUAAAGCUCAUGGGGGCGUAUCCGUAUUCGGUGGAGUAGGGGAACGGACUCGUGAAGGAAAUGAUCUUUAUAUGGAAAUGAAGGAAUCCGGAGUAAUUAAUGAAAAAAAUAUUGAGGAAUCAAAGGUAGCUCUAGUCUAUGGCCAAAUGAAUGAACCACCGGGAGCUCGUAUGAGAGUUGGUUUAACUGCCCUAACUAUGGCGGAAUAUUUCCGAGAUGUUAAUAGGCAAGACGUGCUUUUAUUUAUCGAUAAUAUCUUUCGUUUUGUUCAAGCAGGAUCAGAGGUAUCCGCUUUAUUAGGGAGAAUGCCCUCCGCAGUGGGUUAUCAACCUACUCUUAGUACAGAAAUGGGUUCUUUGCAAGAAAGAAUUGCUUCUACUAAAAAGGGAUCUAUAACUUCGAUUCAAGCAGUUUAUGUACCUGCAGACGAUUUGACCGACCCUGCCCCUGCCACAACAUUUGCACAUUUGGAUGCUACUACCGUACUUUCCAGAGGAUUAGCUUCCAAGGGUAUUUAUCCAGCAGUAGAUCCUUUAGAUUCAACCUCGACUAUGUUACAGCCUCGGAUCGUUGGCAACGAACAUUAUGAAACUGCGCAAAGAGUUAAGGAAACUUUACAACGUUACAAAGAACUUCAGGACAUUAUCGCAAUUCUUGGCUUGGAUGAAUUAUCGGAAGAGGAUCGUUUAACUGUAGCAAGAGCAAGAAAAAUUGAGCGUUUCUUAUCACAACCGUUCUUUGUGGCAGAAGUUUUUACUGGUUCUCCAGGAAAGUAUGUUGCUCUUGCAGAAACUAUUAGGGGAUUUCAACUAAUCCUUUCCGGAGAAUUAGACGGCCUACCUGAACAGGCUUUUUAUUUGGUGGGUAAUAUCGAUGAAGCUAGCACGAAAGCUAUAACCUUAGAAGAGGAGAACAAAUCGAAGAAAUGAAAUUAAAUCUUUAUGUACUGACUCCUAAGCGAAUUAUUUGGGAUUGUGAAGUGAAAGAAAUCAUUUUAUCCACUAAUAGUGGCCAAAUUGGCGUAUUACCAAACCACGCCCCCAUUAACACAGCAGUAGAUAUGGGUCCUUUGAGAAUACGCCUCCUCAACGACCAAUGGUUAACAGCGGUUCUGUGGAGCGGUUUUGCGAGAAUAGUUAAUAAUGAGAUCAUCAUUUUAGGAAAUGAUGCGGAACUGGGUAGUGAUAUUGAUCCGGAAGAAGCUCAAAAGGCACUUGAAAUAGCUGAAGCUAACUUGAGUAAAGCUGAGGGUACGAAAGAUUUGGUUGAAGCGAAGCUCGCUCUCAGACGAGCUAGGAUACGAAUCGAGGCUGUCAAUUGGAUUCCCCCAUCCAAUUGAAGACAAUCCAGUGGUUUAUAGUUGAUACAAAGAAAAAGGGAAGAGGGGUAGAAAAAGUUAUUAGAUAGUGAAGCGAAGUAAGUCCAAUGCUAUCUAGUAAUUUUUCUACCUACUUACCUACUAUUGGAUUUGAACCAAUGACUCCCGCCGUAUGAAAGCAAUAAUCUAACCACUGAGUUAAGUAGGCAAUUUAUCACCACAAAGGAAGACCCAUUACUUCGAUCGAUUAUAUAUUGAAUCCCUUUUCUAAGCAAUACCGCUCUGUUAUUGGUCUGUUAUAUACUAAAUACUAAACUAAAUACUAAACAGAUACAGAUCAAAGGGGUAUCCUCUGGCAUUAGAAAAUAUUCAUCUUGACAAGAAAUUAUCUAUAUGUUAAGAUAUCUCUGAUAAGGGCUAUAGCUCAGUUCGGUAGAGCAACUCGUUUACACGUGCGCCAAUGCUUUUCAAAGGAGCUUAUUAUGCAAUGAACAUAAUCGAUCUUAUUGCAAAAUCAAUGUCUUACUUCAUAGAUUCGAGAGAAUAGGAGAACAGUAGCCUGACAAACAGUCGGUUCAGUCCGAUUCAGGUGCCAAUUCAGGUGCCUAAUCAAAUAGAACCCUUAUGGAUUUGCUAGUUGAUAAGGUAAAUAUCCAGCCCACUAAAUGCUAGGCGUAAUGUGGGAGGUUUAUAUUUGAGUGUUUUUCAUGGUCGAUAAAAAAAUCUUUUGAUGUCUUGCUAGUUCAAUGUUUUGACAGAAGCGCGCGGUGUAAUUCCAUUGAUUUUUGGAUUUCGAUCGUACCUAAGAUCCUUUUUUUAUCUGGGUUGCUAACUCAAUGGUAGAGUACUCGGCUUUUAAGUGCGACUAUGAUCUUUUACACAUUUGGAUGAAACAACAAAUUCGUCCAGACUCUUGGUAGAGUCUAGAAGACCACGACUGAUCCUCAAAGGUAAUGAAUGGAAAAAAUAGCAUGUCGUAAUAAAAUCAAUCUUUUUUGAAUGGAAUCCAAAAUUACGAUUUUCUGGGUCUGAUGAAUAAAUGGAUAGAGCCUGGCUCCAAUUCUGGUAAAAUAAAAAGCAACGAGCUGAACUUCCUAAUUGGAAUGAUUCCCCGCUCUAAUUAGACGUUAAAAAUAGAUUAGUGCCGGAUGCGGGGAAAGGUUGGGUUUUCCUAUGAGUGGACCCUUUAUUUUUUCUUUUUUUUAGAAAUCCUAAUUAUUCUUGAUUAUGGAUUGAAUAAGGGAUGUUAUGGAUUGAAUGUGUAAAAGAAGCAGUAUAUUGAUAAAGAGGCUGUAUUCCAAAGUCAAAAGAGCGAUUGGCCUGCAAAAAUAAAAAACUUGUUCUGUUCUUUUUUUUAAUUAGAACAAACAUAAACUAAUUGGGUAGAAAAGGAGCAGAAAAAGAUCUGUGGAUUAGACUCCCUUUCUUUCCAGGGUUUGUAUUAAAAAUGCAACACCCUGUUCUGACCAUAUUGCACUAUGUAUCAUCAUUCGAUAAACCGAGAAAUGCUUCUUCUCUCUGAUUCAAGUAGAAAUACAAAUGGAAAAAUUCGAAGGGUAUUCAGAAAAACAUAAAUCUCGUCAACAAUACUUCGUCUACCCACUUCUCUUUCAUGAAUAUAUUUAUGCAUUUGCCCACGAUUAUGGAUUAAAUGGUUCUGAACCUGUGGAAAUAGUUGUUAGUUGUAAUAACAAGAAAUUUAGUUCACUACUUGUGAAACGUUUAAUUAUUCGAAUGUAUCAGCAGAAUUUUUUGGAUAACUCGGUUAAUCAUCCUAACCAAGAUCGAUUAUUGGAUUACAAAAAUUAUUUUUAUUCUGAGUUUUAUUCUCAGAUUCUAUCUGAAGGGUUUGCGAUCGUUGUGGAAAUCCCAUUCUCGCUACGGGAAUUAUUUUGUCCGAAAGAAAAAGAAAUACCAAAGUUUCAGAAUUUACGCUCUAUUCAUUCAAUAUUUCCCUUUUUAGAAGACAAAUUUUUGCAUUUGGAUUAUCUAUCACAUAUAGAAAUACCCUAUCCUAUCCAUUUGGAAAUCCUGGUUCAACUCCUUCAAUACCGUAUCCAAGAUGUUCCAUCUUUGCAUUUAUUGCGAUUCUUUCUCAACUAUUAUUCGAAUUGGAAUAGUUUUAUUACUUCAAUGAAAUCCAUUUUUUAUUUUCAAAAAGAAAAUAAAAGACUAUUUCGAUUCCUAUAUAACUCUUAUGUAUCAGAAUAUGAAUUUUUUUUGUUGUUUCUUCGUAAACAAUCUUCUUGCUUACCAUUAGCAUCUUCUGGAACUUUUCUGGAACGAAUCCACUUUUCUAGGAAGAUGGAACAUUUUGGGAUAAUGUACCCUGGUUUUUCUCGGAAAACCCUAUGGUUCUUUAUGGAUCCUCUUAUGCAUUAUGUUCGAUAUCAAGGAAAGGCAAUUCUUGCAUCAAAAGGCACUUUUUUUUUGAAGAAGAAAUGGAAAUGCUACCUUAUCAAUUUCUGGCAAUAUUAUUUCUGUUUUUGGACUCAGCCGCGAAGAAUCCAUAUAAACCAAUUAGCAAACUCUUGCUUCGAUUUUAUGGGGUACCUUUCAAGUGUACCAAAAAGUUCUUUGUUAGUAAGGAAUCAAAUGCUGGAGAAUUCAUUUCUAAUAGAUACUCGAAUGAAAAAAUUCGAUACCAUAGUCCCCGCUACUCUCCUCAUAGGAUACUUAUCAAAAGCUCAAUUUUGUACUGGAUCGGGGCAUCCUAUUAGUAAACCCAUUUGGACAGAUUUAUCAGAUUGGGAUAUUCUUGAUCGAUUUGGUCGGAUAUGUAGAAAUCUUUUUCAUUAUCAUAGUGGAUCUUCGAAAAAACGGACUUUGUAUCGACUAAAGUAUAUACUUCGACUUUCAUGCGCUAGAACUUUAGCUCGGAAACAUAAAAGCACGGUACGAACUUUUAUGCAACGAUUGGGUUCGGCAUUUUUAGAAGAAUUUUUGAUGGAAGAAGAGCAAGUUUUUUCUUUGAUGUUCACCAAAACAACUCUUUUUUCUUUCUGUGGAUCACACACUGAGCGUAUUUGGUAUUUUGAUAUUAUACGUAUCAAUGACCUGGUCAACCCUCUUAAUUAAUCAUUAGACGAAAUUAAGAAACAGGAAAGGGUUGAUAAAUGAUCAAGAAAAAACUUUUCUAUUUUUCAUUCUGAAAUGUUCUUUUUAUUAUAAUAAAGAGUAGGUGAAUCAACUUACUAAUUAAAAAAAUUAGUAGAACUUCCUCUUUGGAAUAGAAAUAGGCUAUUUCUACAUAGGGAAAGUCGUGUGCAAUGAAAAAUGCAAGCACGAUUUGGGGAGGGAUUUUUCUCUAUUGUAACAAGGAAGAAUUAUCUACUCCAUCCGACUAGUUCCGGGUUCGAGUCCCGGGCAACCCAUAUAGAAAAGACUCAUCAAAGUUUUUAACUUUGACUCACUUCAUUUACAAAUACAAAAUUAUUGGUUUGGUUAAUUUAGUUAUAUGGAUAGCUAAUCUUUGGGCUGACUUGGUUGACAUUGGUUAAUUAGGCGGAGACAGAGGGAGUGGUUAAUUAGGUGAGGCCACAUAAUGAUUUCUCAAAAUCCUGCAUCGGGUGCUUUUCUUUUAGUAUCCUUUUACACAUUUUUGGGGUUUAGGGUUCAUUAUUUAGAUUAAUAUUGUGUAAUAUACAUCCAUAUAAACAUGUAGAGUUUUUUUUGGCUUUUUUAAACUUCAAAUAUAAUUUUGAACUAUUUGAAAUAAAGUGCUCCAGUACUUUAAAAGUACACUUUCAUCAUGCACCCCUCUUUUCAUCAUAGGUUUAAAAGGGUAUUUAUGUCCAUCCACAUAAAUUAAAACAAUUAAGGAAUUAAUCCUUUGAUUUGUUUGCUCAUUAGCCAUGGUGAGCGGUAGAGCGGCAAAAUCGCCUGGGCGUAUUUGACUCAAUACUCUCAUGGUCUAGGGAACUAGGCAUACAUUCAGUCUCCGUGUUAUUACUUUAGACUUGCAACGAUAACAUCACUAAGUAUAACAAAUAACUUGGGUCAAUUCAAUAUGAUCACUAUUCUAACAUCAUACUCUCAAUGUUGUUCUUGUUUCAGUACGUAAACAAAAAAGCCUACGACCAGGAAAACAUAAUCAUCAUACAACACUUGAGCUAGUCCUAGAGGCAAGACUAGGAAUCAAGUUUUACCAUUUAUUCUUCUACACGUGCUUACGAGUUUUCCUCUAAACCAGAUAUUCAAGAAUCAUAAGAGUUAUAGCAUAGAAUAUAAACGCUUAAUUAUAAACCUGGAAAUAAGUAAUACAAAUGAUUUCGGUUCAUUGGGAGGUUCUGCCCAAACGCAUGUGACGAUUGACCAAUCUUGCACCGAGCAAACCGAAGUUUAUGCCAUGUUCCUUUCGGCCCGGACGUAAAGAAAGGGCCCGUUGUGUACAGUACAGUAUAGCCCACUAGGCUCAUCCGCCUCGUCUCCAUCUUUCUCCCCUCACUCCCGAGUCCAAGAUCCCCAAUUUUGCCAUGGCGGCGGCGUAGGGACAGCCGCAGACAUUUUUGCGCCUCCUCCGAAUUAGCAGCCUUCUUCUCCCUACCACCAUUGCUGCAUAUGAGCACAAGCGCCCACCGUCUCUCUGUCUCCUCCCUCGUACUGCAGUAAUCCCAAACCAAAGAAAAUGGUUGGAGGGCGCUGCACGGACGCCUUCGCCAAGCCGAAGCAUCCGCGCCCUGCAGGUGGCGACGACGGAAGCAACGGCGGUGAUGCGGGUGGGGGAGGCGGCAUCGGGCAUGCCGGCGACCGUCUGAGCGCGCUGCCGGACGACCUCCUCCACGCCAUCAUGUCGCGCCUCAAGGCCCUGCAGAUGGUGCGGACCUGCAUGCUGUCCACGAGGUGGAGGCACCUCUGGCGCGCCGUGCCGUGCCUCGACGUCGACGAGGAGGAGACCGGCGCCUACAACAAUUUCGACAACUUCACCAGCAACCUUCUGCACUGCCAUGACAUCGCGGUCCUGGAGGACUUCCGGCUGCACGCCGCCAGGACUUCUGACCGAUGGGUCCGCCGCGCCGUAGGCCAAGGCGAGGCAUGGCCUUGCCGGCUCAAAAGUUUGCAUCUCUUCAGACUGUCUAAUCUGAAUCUGACAGAUAUAGGGAGCCACAUCAGCUCCCGCUGCUUUGCUCUGGAGGACGUGCAACUUAGAAACUGCAGUUUUGUGCUCACCAGCAAUGCUAAGAUCGUCUCCGCCUCACUCAAGAAAUUGGCUGUCGUUGAUGGCUACUACAUGGUGCAUGACGAUGAGAUUUUUGCGUUGAUUAUAGAGGCUCCUGCUCUUGUUUCUCUAUGCCUGGACGGGGAGCUUGAACACAUUGUUGAUAUGACUGAACCACAUACCGUGCUGUCUCUUGUGGAUGCGUCGAUUCAGCUUCCGAGGGUCGAGAGGCGCGUGAAUCACCAAUUGGGCAUUCUUGGCGCGCUGUCUAAUGUGACAACCUUGCGCUUGUCGCAUUUCGCGGUCAUGGUAUACUCUUCUUCUUCUUGACAUACCCUUUUAUUCAGUUUGCAUCUCCUAUAUCUGCAACAAUUUAAGGAUAAGAAAAUGAUUGCCUGGGUUUCAGCUGUUGUUCUAUGCUACUCGUGAGGAUCUUCCUGUAUUCAAGUUUGAGAACCUGAGAAGCUUGCUGCUAGAUGAGUGUCAUAUCAGCGACGACUUCCUCGGGCUGCAGCAAUACCUGCACAACUCGCGUAACCUGAAGAAACUCACUUUGCGCUGUUGCAAGGUGAUCCUACGUCUUCUUUCAUGAUCUAUUAGCAUAACUCAAUUUUUGUCUGUAAUAUUAAUUCUUUUAUGCUGUUCAACAGGUCUUGGAUUAUAGGCAUAACAAGGAGAUGAGAGAACGCCUGCACAAAUCUUCUGAGGAUCUGGUGGAUUUCAACUGUGAGAACCUUAGGCUUAGUGAAAUCAUAUACAGAGAUGGUGAUACUUCUGUCCACCUACUGGUCAUGUUUUUGGUGGGCAUGCCGACCAAUCUACCAAACAACAAGAUCGAAUUCACUAAAAUUGAUUAGCAGAACUGUUUGUCAAAUACGUCAUGUUGUCUACGGUUUGCUGAUUUUCGCCCAGGGUGCUUGUCUGACCAAUUUGAAUCAUUAGCUUUUCCUUUUACUAGUAGUUCAUCAUCUGCAUUCCAUGUUAUAUAAAUAUAUAUUGCAAGAACCAUGUAAAUAUGCAUUGAAGCAUGUCAUUUCUGUUUGUUUGGCAAUUUAUGGGGAGAAAAAACUGAACAGGGGAUUGAUUACCUCUCUCUUAUUUGACGCAAGGAUGCUCCACUUAAUAAUAUUUGAUGGUUGAGGUAGUUUGAUUUCACCAACUCAUUACUUUUUAAUUAAUACAAAUGUAUUCUUGGUUGAAGUGGAAGUAUCUUGUAUCAGCUAUUCUAGGUGAUUUAAGGUUGUUACCUUUGGGAUGUGGUAUUGACAUUCACAUUUAAGCUCUUCUGCAGAUGUUCUUGCUUACUGUGACUCAAAUGACACAAGCUGUUUCAUCAUCCCUUGUACGUGUACAAGGGACAUCAGUGAUGAAGCAAAAGGCCCUACUACAUAUCUUGCGGUCAUACCUGAUACUGAGACACUGUGUGUGUAGGUUGGUUCCGAUUAACUUUUUCGGACGAGGUGGUACAAAAUAGUAUAUUGGAUGGUUCAGAUGGUUUCUUGAUUGAAGUGGAAGUAUGUUGUAUCGCCUCAUCACGGUGAUUUUAGGCUUAGUCCUUGUGGGAUAUGUUAUCGAUUUUUAAGCUCUAUUUUGCGGCAGUCUUGCUUACUGUGAUCCAAAUGGCGCGAAGGCAGUACUAAACAUCAAAAUUGUUGGCAGCGACGCUAGAUCAGUACCCACUGUCAAUAGAAUGAUGUUAUUCAUGAGUGGAGUAUUGCAUUACUGGGGUGGGUUUGUGCACAAAGAGUUACAGUUGGGUGUUGAUAGCACCACCUGUUUAUUGGAAGUUGAAGCAUGUCAGAAAAUCAAUGUUUCAGUCACACUGAAACAAGGUCUGAUUGGCUGAGAAAAAAGCCAUACAAUAUACAUAUCAUUUACAGCAAAACAAAGGGUUGGUUUGUUAAUAACUGAUCUUGCCAAUGUACCUAUCCUUACUGGACGUAGUCAUGAACUAAUUUCCAUGCCUGCAUCCCUAUGUUGCCAAAAGUUCAGCAUUUCAUUAACAAAGUGUGUCGAUGAUCAGGUUACUUCGACGUUGCUUGGUGGUGGCGCAGUACAAUGCGUACACUGAACGACUACUCUUCUCCAAUCAGAUACAAGCGGUAGGGAGGUUCUUUGACCACCAUGGAUUUGCCAGACAACAACACGUCAGUUUUCCUUCUUUGGUUGGGUCGAGCGAUGAUACCUUUUUUUAGCUCCGAGGCAAAAGCCUCGUUGCCUUGAUUGGUUUGAUGUAACAACGACAAGUCAUAUGCCUUCGCCUACCGAAGACUUGUCUUGGAAUAUUAGGAUGCCUCCAGUGAAAUAUAUUCUUCAUUUGCUGAAUCAGGCAGAUGAUAGUGAGGUGGACUUUUCGGUAAAAUCAUUUUUUUAGAAAAGGAGGAGGACCCCCGGUCUCUGCAUCUGGACGAUGCAUGCAACUACUUUAUUAAUUAUUCAUACAAGACAUUACAAAGUCAUACAACAGUAAGACUAAAGCCACCGUCUAGGCAACAUCUGUCGCUACUCUUAUCCAGUUGAUGAAGGGAUGCUGAUAGUCCGGGCCUAAUUCCAAACAGACCUCGCAGCCAAACCUACCAUCUAAUACCUGAGGUCCCAACCAGGGCGCCUGUCGGGUAUGGGGCACCCACCAGUUCGGCGCACUCCUCAAACAGGACGCCUGCCGGGUAUGAGGCCGCCGCAGCCACCUGCCACCAAUCCAUCUUCAGUGUUGUGCUGCUGCAUCAACCUUGCCCGGUCUAGCUGCCGUCGACAUCACCACGACGCUAGACAACGCCACAUCUCUGCGCGAGUCCAUCUCCUCGCAUCAGACGUCGAGUCUCCAUGGCGCCAUGCCGCCGAGAUCCGCCGCUAGCAAUGUGUAAGCUGAAGCACCGCUCCACUAAAAAAGCCUUCCACUGGUCCCUCGGUCCGUGUACACCUCCACGAAAUGACGCCCCCAAGAGGGAAACGACACCAUAGCGCAGCCGUCAUCCAAUCUACUGAUCUAGGGUUUCCCCCGGAGGUAGCAUAGAGUGGCCUUGAACUUCUCCAUGGUGAUGCCUUUAAGAAGGGAACGACGUAGACAGCGCCGCCACCGCCGACCUUGGCAGCUAACCAAGAGCAGGUUUUCACCCAGAUUUGUUUGAAGAUCCUCCCUCAAGCAUCUCGUGCACGGACUGCCGCCCUCUCUGCCGGGGACUGGACGAAAGGGAUCCAUGCCGCCGCCGCCUGACCGGCCAUGGCACCACCACGGUGCCUACAGCCGGCGCCGUCAGGCCCACCACGGUCGCCUGUAGAUGCACGCCGGAACCGCCAGCCCGCCCAAGCCCGUCUGGGCAAGACAAGAUCGGCGAUCUCGGCCGCCGCCACAGGGGCGACUCCGCUGACGCCGCCGUCACGCAUGCCGUAGGGAUCCCGCCGCUCCUUGCCACCGGAUCUCCGUCGAACGAUACGCCGCCGCCGCACGGAAAGAUCGCCACCACCGCGCGAGGGAUAAGACCCCGCCGCCGCCAUCAUAGGCCAGGCUUCGCCGGUGAGACCUCAGGCGGCGGCUAGACGGAGGAGGCGAGGGGAGGGGGCCUAGGGCCGGCGGCGCGAUCGCCCCCCGUGUCGCCUAGGGUUGGCGACGCCUGGGUGGGGGCGGGGGUGCCUGGCUGAUCAACUGGAGAUUCCAGUGCCCGCGCAAGGAGUGAGAUUGGCACAUUCUGCCUUCUCUGACUGGUUCAACAAAUGAUGCUGUAGUGGUGUUGCUACCUCCAAAUUUGUUGUCUUGGACUCUUGGUGCCGUGAUCCAUAUACUAUGUUUGUUGCUUCUGUUCAGCGGUUUAAACCAAGUAACAAGUAAGAAGAUUAGCAUGUUAUUGUUUAACCGGUCGUGAGAUUUGGCGCUCUUAGUUGGUUUCUAUUCGCAUGUUGUUUUCAGCCUCGACGUCUUAAACUUGGUAUGAAUAAAUUAAAUUGUGUGCAUCGAUAGUGAUCCUUCCAUUCUGUACAAAGCGUAUGCAAGUCGUGAUUUGGUCACAUGAGCUUGUAACUAGUCAGCGACGUAGAAGCCUAUUUCACUUAAGAUUGAAAUAACUCGGUCCUGACCUUCAUCACGAAAUGAGAGGUUCCACUAAAAAAAUAGUUAAAUAAUUGAUUUCUUCUACUUGUCACAUAUUUACAUACACUAGUAGAAUGCCCGUGCGUUGCCACGGGCUUUAAAAAUUAAGAUGCUACCCACGGAGCUGAAGUAAUCGAGAAUAACGCACAUCUCAGCUGACACAUAUCAUACUAUCAGACACAAUAAUACAUUAUUAACAGCUUUAAUAAAAUAUAUGUUAUUGAAGCCUGUUAUUGACAACUUUAAAAAACUACAUAUUAUUGAAACCAAUUGAACGCCAAGAGGGUUGUGAUACCCAUCCAUGGGUGAGUGCAUAAUUCUGGUGGUGGUGGUGAUGUACCUACAUUGUUAUCUGUAUUUCUUUAUCCUUUUAUCGAGGCACGGAACAAUUUUACUAUCUUGCUCUUUUUUAAUUCAAAUACAAACACAAUCAUAGAAAUCUGGAGUUCAAGUCACUGUUCUCAUUCCUCACCCGAUCGAUUUUCUGUGGGGAGCACAUUUGAGCCACCACUGGUUUCUAAUAAUCUUUUAUACAAAUGCACACCCCCUGAUAUCUCAACGUCGCAACCUUCUAGUCAUGGAGAUUACCCAAAGGAAGUUUUUUUUUUUUUUGCCAUUAUCACUUCUUUAUCUGGUAGUAGAUGCCAUAUUUUUACGAAAGUAUGACAUAAUUUUUUAGACACAUACAAUGAUAUUGUUUUCAUUAUGAAUAAUGCAUUUGUACAUAAAGUCGUCCAAGUUUGGUUCCACAUUCGCCGAACAUCCUAUGAAUUUUCGAGAUUCGGUUACACAACCAAGCAUGGCAUGAUGUGAGAAAACCAACAAUGAUGUGUGCUUGAGCAUCUUUCACCAUGAAAAAAGGCAUUUUGGGAGUCUUGAUCAUCACUGAGGGUAAGUUGAUUGAUGCAUUGCGGAACCUUGAGCAUUUUUAGAACCCAGAAACCUGGACAAAGAAUUUGAACUGUAUGGACGAAGAAUUUGAACUGUAUGUACCAAUUUCAUAAGUGAGGCCCUGAUAUUGGCAUGUAUUUGUGGUGGUUCUUCAAGUAUGGCUGCAAUGCAAGUUCUAUUUAUAUGCAAAAAUGUAGUUAGUCCCCUAAAAUAAUUACUCUAUUCACAUGAAUUUGACAAGUUGGAAAAUACCUUGGGCGGUUCUUACGAUAAUGUUUCCAAUGGAAUUGCUAUCAAAAUUGUGUUUCCAAUAUACCUCCUUCACCGCCCUCUUCAUAUUCUUAUGUAGCAAAACUCACUACUUUAUGUUAGCAUAACUUAACUACUAAAGUUGGAUGUAUGGCAUGCACAUAAUUUAGAUAAAAAGCAAAAUAAUCAGUAUUAAAAAAGAGAUCGACAAUAUGCCCUAGAAAGAAAAAUAAUAUGGUAGGCUAACAUGAAUGGAGAAUAAACCUUCCUCUUAGUGCUUUUACCUGUGGGGUCUAUGUCUUUAUUGGGCUUGGCCAAAAUCUCAGUGGUCUAUCUUGACUUGUCAAAUGUACAUGACUUGUGUCAGAUUCAAGAAGCCUUAUUGCCUAUCCACCCUAAUUGUAAACAACUUUAAAUAUUAUUCUGCUUCAUAAGUUCUAGGAGUUUAAAAUGUCAUAGUUCUCAAGAUGCUGAAAUAUAAAUUUCAUAAUAACAACAAGGACUCAAACCCUACCAAGCAAACUUUUUUCUUUGUUCAGAACAACAUCAAUAGUUCCAUGUGAAACACAGUUCAAAAACAUGACACAUUUAUUAUAUAUCCCAGAACAUUAAAAUAAAUUGAUGUGUGUACUCGUAUUUUUUGGGAACAAGAUUAAGCCCCCAUCCAACCAGAUGAGGUACCAACAGUUUUAGUAACAUAUUAACCCACUGGUGUUCUUAAUCCUGAAAAUCUGGCUGUGUACUGGUCCAGAAAAUUACCUAAGAAAUAAUUGCAAGUGAUAGCAGAAACCUGUGCCCAUUUAGAAAUGGCAAGAAAACAUUACAAAGAGGUCAUGAUAUAUAUGAAAAAUGAUUUGUACACUACAACAGAUCACCAUAUACGAAUAAGAUUAGUUGAACGUAAUUCAACACCCAUUAUGAGAUGCUAAGAUUUGAAUCAUUAACUAUGCAAUUUAGUGGGAGUUUGGAGUAUCACAUCUCUCAUGUGCUCCGCAACGAGAACAUUGUACAUACAUAUAGAAAGAAUCAGAUCAAUUUACAAAUAGAAUAAAGAGUGGUCAUGGGAGUUCACAUGUUCGUUGUUCUCAUAACAAACAAAUAUGAUCAGCAGUCCCUUACUAACAAAUCUGAAACCGAGCAUAAAAUCGAGAUCCAGGAGGUUGUUGGACUGUAGGUGAUGACAGUUAAGGCGAAGGGGGAGACGAUGAUGACUCCCUAGGCCUAGAAAUGAUCGUGAAAUUGUAGCUGACAAACUGCACUAAGAUCCUUGAAUUUAUUUUACUUGUCAUCCGUCUACGUACAUGCAAAUAAACUAAUAUGUUGGAUCUGAUCCAUGAUGCAUAAUCAGUGUGAAAGUUUAGUCAAGAAAGAAGAAGAGUGUAUCGUCUGAGAUGUGCACUACUAACGUGGAGGCAUUCGGCAGGCUCAUGUCUCCAUCAGAUAAAGUAUAUGUAAACAUGAAUAGAUGACAAUUUCCAUCGCAAAAUGCCCAUAUCAAAGCGAGCAGUAUAUCAAACUGCUUACUUGCCGCAAAGAUGAGAUGGUCAGCACAUAAAGGUGCUCACAAAUGCUGAUGCCGUACUUACAUCAGAACUCUAGCCUCAAUUUCUCAAACAGAGCUUCUUUCAAAUAGUCAUGUUGCACACAUUUAUAAUCAGAGAAGUUGUAUUGGCCCCUUGAUAUGAGAAAAGGCAAGGACAGCAAGUGCUGCAGAGUACCCUCAACAAGAAGUAACUAUUAUACUGCAAUAAAUAAACCUCUACAAUUGAGUAGAAAGUGACAAAAAAAGGAGCGCUCCAUCUGCCUGACCUUACUUUUUAGAAAUGUCACAAGCUGCUUAUAAAAAGUUUAAACCAACUUACGUGCUAAGAGUACAAAAUAACAUCUACUCCCUCUAUCACAUAAUAUAACAUCUUAUUACAUCAAAUGUAAUAAGAUCUUAUAUUAGGGAACGAAGGGGGUACCAUCUUCCGGGUGUUUGGAUUAUAGAGCUCACCAACAUAGGCAUUCGGCUUUACGGCCAGCACUGAUGAUAGGAACUCCUCCUGUGCUUCAGCUCAAAUCUCUAGUAGCUGAGUUUAGACCCAUCUUGUUACUAAACAACUUCGUGCCACCAACCAAACAUCCCUGCCACAAUCAUGGCCUCAUAUGACACAGUCAUAAUUCACACCCUAGCCUUGAUCGUGCAUGGAGCUGCGAAUUGGAUUUGAUUACUCACAACCAUAGAAAAGAAAGGGAAGACUAAAGAUCAAAUCCACCGGAGCAAACAAUAGAUUCUUCAGCAAAAGGUCGUCCAUGGUUGUCGGAUGGUUUAUAUGCGAGGAAUCAUUGUCGAUGGACAUAAAAAGUCGGGGCAUCGUCUAUGGUGUACGAGAUUGAUUGGACUGACCUUGCGACACCCUCAGGCCUCAGGUAUGGCGAUGUGCCGAUGUCGAUGGCCAGCUCGGAGCCCAUAUCAUGUUACAGCAGCGCCGAGUACCUGGGCACGAUGUCCCGGCGUUGCGGCCGCGAAGGCCGCAGUGACGUCAAACAACUUCUUGAAGCCGGCUGCACCCAGUCGUGGGCUGUCGAACGCAAACACCGUGACCGGCCAUUCUCGGCGAUGUACAACGCAUUCAGGGUGGCCAGCUCCGCCCCGAGGCUGUGCCCCAUUACCAUGAUGCUCACCUCCUCGUCCUUGUACGUAUCCAGCAGUUUCUGCACCUCAGUUAUCAAUGAAUCCUAGCUUUCCCUCCUUCAAGAGGUACCACACUCAAUAGAAAACACGAAGUACAAUAAUAAGUACAAAGAAUCUGUAAUCCAAAUAUAAAUAUGUGACUUGUAAAUAGCAAUGACAAGUGGAUAAAGCAUAUGUGCAAAUUCUAAGACACUAAUAUACUUAUGCUCCAACUCAAAUACUCAAUCAAUGGGACACACAAGAAAUACAUCGACUGUAAUAAAUAAAUGAGCAUUGUUUCUAGACAGCACCAACAAUAUCCCUCUACCUCCCCUUCAAUUUUUAGAUUCUGAAUUAAGUUUGUGGUCUGGAAUUAGAAGCCAUAUAUUCAAAAAUCCUCAGCAAUGAAUCAAGCUAAAUAAUAUGCACCUUUAAUUUGACGUCCGUUCCUCCAUCAUUACGCUUGUUACUCAGUAAGAUUUUAUUAUCUCCAUUAAGGUGAAUGCAACAAACUGUCUGGCACAAAGGUCUCUAAAUUAGAAUGCUGGAAUAAAUCCAUGCAUGAAACUAUUGUCUUAAGACAUUGGCACCGAAUAAACACCAGCACUUAAUCAAGGUGCACACGAAGGCCUCAAGUAGGAAGGAACAAAAGAUAAAGAAGUUUAACCGCGCUAACACAUAAAGAAAAGAUAAUUAUGAGGUGAAAAGAACUGAAAAUCUAAGUAAAUUGUACUGACAGAACCAUCGGCAUGCAUCUUCCAGUUUGUACCACUCAUGACCCCAUGCCGGGAAAAUCCUCCCUCUCUCAUGCGAACCAGACAAAAAUAGUAAAGACAAAAGUUUGACCUUCAUUACAUUAAGUACUAAUUUGACUUUAAUUGUAAAUCUUAGCAAAAAAGGAACUAACCUGGUUGAUUUUUCCUGUUUUUUUUUCGUUAUCGUUUUCGAUAGUAGAACCCGAUCCGUUUUUGGAUUGAAUGGACAAAAGGCACUAACCACACCCUUGUUGAACUUGAGAAAUUGUACAAUUGGACAAAAGCAGAUUAUAGAUUCAUAUAUAAGAGAAAAGGAAGACUCAGUCUAGUUGGAGCUAUAUGCAUUAAUGCAUGGAUGUCCUCCACAGAAUCUUUGCACCUUUUAAUUUAGAGUAUUUUUUCUUUAAGAUGUCAACCAUAAAGUAGACAUGAACUAUAUACACACUCGAUAUUCAUUACAUGAAUUAGAAGUAGAAGCGCUACUUCAGGGCAAAAAAAAGAUAUAGUACAACCGGUUCUUCUAUCUAUAUCUAACCAUGCGUCAUUAAGCUAAAAGUUUGGUUCAUAUCGGUUUCAUCAGAUGACUCAUGAGAUUGCCAUUUGAGGAUAUGUGGUCUGCUGGGAACACCGGCGGCAGCGGUGAAGCGCACGGUAAUAGAAUAGUCCUGUGUGACAUAUGUUUUCUUGCAUUGUCCUGUGUAACAGGUUGAUAUUUCUCUAGGAAUGGUAGUAGAAAGAUUGUGUGGUGCUGAUAUUGAACUUAUAAUAAAAUUGAGUUCUAGAAACAAUUCCCUACAUUGUCUCAUUAGUAAUCACACCAAGAAUACUUAUCCUCCUAUAGAUCUGAGUUGACUCUGUGUUUUGGUGUGCAGAAAUUGGUUACCGGUAGGAAAUAAUAUAACUAAUCGGUAUCUUGAGUUGCAAAGAGAUCACUCAGAAUGGUGCCUGAUAUUAUGCCAUAAAGAACUCACAUUUUUUAUUGUCCCUCAGGAUAUGUACGCACCUUUCUCUGCUGGAUGCAUGCACAAUUCUGAAUUAAGAACAAAUGACAUGUUAAUUAGCUAUCGUACAAAUGCUUUUCCGAGGGAAGUCGAUUAUGCAUUAAAAAAGCACUCUAUGAUGCUGUAUAAAUAAAGUCAUGGACGGGAAAGCAAUUUUUGACCCCGUGAUUUCUCUGUACAUUAGGCAAUGCCAUGAAGUAAUUUUUUUACAAAGAGGGGAGCCCAUCAAUUUCCCUACUGGAUUUUCUGGUGUCCCGUUUUAUAAUAAGUUCUUUGCUGGAAAAAACAUACAAAUAAUUAGUUACUCUAUUUGUCCCGACGUCGUGGACUAUGUCUAUAGUUUAAUUUAAUUUCUAAAUGGAACCGAACGACGAUUUCUAUUUUCUGCAGAUAAAACAUGGUGGCUUUAGACCAACAUAAAUAUGUAUACCUUCAUUUAGGUUUCAGUUCAAAGGUCUCAAUGCUCCAAUUUCUCAUUUUGAAACCUGAAACUGAAAGGAAUUUAACAAAUCAACAUAGCCUUGUGGAACCUUGAUCUUAGUUGCAUUAAGCCAAUCAGAGUAAGAAUGUAGCUUUGUAUCCUAGCUGUGUACAUCUUCUCUAAAAGUAAUAAUAAAGGCUACCAUGUUCAUUCAAGAAUAAAAAUUCCCAUGUCAGGAUAAUCUUUCAGUACAAAAGCUUGGUGCAUUUCCUUUAGACACACUAAAAACCGACUACUGUUAUGAACUUCAGAGAUGAACACUUGAUUCUUAAUUUGGUUUGCCAUAAACUAUAAACCAAAAGAUUUACACAUUAAAGCAGCAGUGGGUAAGCAUAUGCUGGGUUCUAAUAGGAGAGGAGUGCUUAGGAAAGAAAGAAAUCGUAGCCAUAUUCAGAUUCUUCCAUGACUGUUAAAUUUGAAGGAAUAACUUACUGUAUCAAAGACUAUAAUUUCAUACAGAAGACAUAUCAUGUGGAAACAGAAAUAUAUGAGUAUGGCAGGUGGGAACCAUAGAUCACAAGAAACAAAUAUUAGUUUAGUUGCACUCAUAUCAUCAAGGGCAUUGAGAGGUAACCUAACCUUGGAGAUUGCAUUUUGCUUCACCCAGUCCUUAUGACUUCUCAGUCAACCUUCCACAACUCUUCUGCAUGUGCCGCCUGCAAACCGAGGAGAAGACAAUGUUGGGUGGCCAUGUGUUAGAGUGAAGGCGGAUUAGGGAGAAGCAUUGAUAUGAAGAAAGCUCGUGAAACACAAACCUGAUUGCCAUUGUAUCUCAUGAAAAUAUACUUCUGAUGAAAACAAAUAUUUGCCAUCGUUGUACCUGCCUCUCAAACAAAAUAUGAUAUGUUCUAAUGAAAACGAAAGAAGAUGAUAUGCAUACCCCACAGAGGAAAAUCAUCUUGAUUGUAGAAAAAAUAGGGGGGCAACGUAUUCAUCAAAAUGAUACAGUACGAAUUAAGCCUAUAAGAUGAACUGAGUCUGGAACUCUGGAUCCACCAUUACCGAGAGAUCCAUCCAUCCCCAUGACCCGAGUCAUAGACCAGUACUUCUCUCCUUCCGCUCCUCUUUUGCCUGGAUCCAAGCCGCCAAAAAGGGAUCCUGCCAAGGCGGCUGCGGCGUUUACCCGGAUGGACCCGAGUUGGGAUGUCUUGCACUGUGAGUCAGGGAGUCUGCAGGAAGUGGCGGCGGCGACGGGGGUGCAACAAUGCAAUCCUCGUCUCCACGUCGUCACAUCCACGACAUCCUCAAUGCAUGGAGAGGCAGCCCCAUCGGGCGUGUAGGAGCCGACGGCCAGGCACGGAGGCAUCGUCCUCCGCGGGUGGUGUGGUGAUCCGAUCAUGGGCGGCGGCAUAGAGGGCGCUAGGCAUAUCCAUGAGGCGCUGGCGGCGGCCGACGUGGCGACCCCGUGUCCCGAUCAGGCGCCCACGGCCGAGGCCGAGGGUCCCUUCUUGUCGGCCAUGGAUGCCAUGGCGUUCAUGGCCCAUGGCACACGAGCUCCACGCCCGAGCAAUUGCGAUGGGAGAUGGCGGCGGCAUGCUGGAGGGGUGCACCGUGCGAGCGGAAUGGCGGCAGCGGCGUACGAGCGGAAUGGCGGCGGGGCGGAGGAUUCGGCGGCGGCGGUGGCAACGAUCGAUGGGAGUGGGCAAGGAUGGGGAUCGAUGGAGUUUUCUCGCGGCGGCGGCGGAAACGAUAGAUGGGAUCGAUGGGAGUGGGCAACGAAGGAUGGGGUCGAUGGAUUUUUUUUUGUUGGGUGUGGGUUUUUUUGGUGGCUGCGUGCGAUGGGGUGGGGUGGGGGAGGUGACGAAAAAAACCAGUCAAAAAAAAAACCNNNNNNNNNNNNNNNNNNNNNNNNNNNNNNNNNNNNNNNNNNNNNNNNNNNNNNNNNNNNNNNNNNNNNNNNNNNNNNNNNNNNNNNNNNNNNNNNNNNNNNNNNNNNNNNNNNNNNNNNNNNNNNNNNNNNNNNNNNNNNNNNNNNNNNNNNNNNNNNNNNNNNNNNNNNNNNNNNNNNNNNNNNNNNNNNNNNNNNNNNNNNNNNNNNNNNNNNNNNNNNNNNNNNNNNNNNNNNNNNNNNNNNNNNNNNNNNNNNNNNNNNNNNNNNNNNNNNNNNNNNNNNNNNNNNNNNNNNNNNNNNNNNNNNNNNNNNNNNNNNNNNNNNNNNNNNNNNNNNNNNNNNNNNNNNNNNNNNNNNNNNNNNNNNNNNAACCAACUCGUCCAUUAGGAGUAGAGAUUAUAACCGAGCACUCUUCCAGCCCUCUCAGACUAUCAGUACUUUUGUCCGUCGGAUCUGCGUUGGUUGGAGUUUAUGGUAAUCGGAUUAAACUUUGGGCGCAAUGCUUAACGCGACUAAACUGGGCAGCUGCUCUCGCAGCAAAAUUGGAGGCCCGUGGUUAAUUGGGCCCUUGCUCUCACGUGAAGCCCACUCAGACCUCGCGAGGAAACAACCGAACGAGCGAGCCACCCGUCUCCCUUCCCUCGACGCCCCACCCUCCCUUGGCUUCUCUCUCUCUCUCUCUCUCUCUCUCUCUCUCUCUCCAAUCCUAACCGCGGAUCAGCACCGCGGCAGCCCGUGUGCCUUUCAUCUUGGUAGCGUGUACAUCGCCGCCUCCGCCUGGGCGCUCCACUGCUCGCCUUCUCCAUCUCCCCGACGGUCGGCGGCGGUUAUGACAAAGCAGAGGCUGCGGUAAGAUUUACCCUUGGCGGCAUGGGCAGUGAACCGCUAGGUGCGUCGCCUACGCCCCAUGAGUGUUUCCUCAUUCAAGUGCUCCGCCUAUUGCCUGUUGGUUGGCUUUUGCCUCUUCGACCACCAGAUUCGGGUAGCAAAGAGGCUGUAGAGCUGCUCCUCCUAUUGCCCGUACGAUCACCCAAGCACUCUUGGUGGCCGGCCGUCUCCACCUUCACCAGAUACAUAUUACAGGAAAGUUUCUGAGUCGCCACCCUUUGCUCAUUCCCUUGUUGAAUUAUACAUAACCACAUGUCAUUUUGGCAGUCAGAUUUUGUUGCUAUUUUAAAGAGUCGAUCCAGCCAUUUCUCGCUACAUUCUCCAACGUAAUUUCAUCCUGGUAGGAACUAUGUAUGAAACACAAAUCAUUACUACUCAUUUAUUAUUGACAUUUGCAUUAACAGUCCAUCUGUAACUUGUGGCUCUUUUUUUUAAAUCUUGCUUAGCAUCUGGGUCAACAUUUCAUAAUAAAUCUUCUCAUUUCUUAUGCUACAUUCAAAUUAUUGCACAGAGCCGGUCAUGGGAAGAGGAUGAUCUUAAGAGAGAAAUGCUCAAAUACCUCGAUACUUUUAACAGCAAGAACACUUAGUCUUGAAGGGAUUGGUCCGGUCCGGUAUGUUGUCUUAGCCUUGAUGUUUAAUGUUUCCCUACUUUUGUCUUGUCUCUGCAUGUUUACCGUAUCUGCGUUUCAUGCAUUAACUAGCAACUUGCAUUUUUUUGCACAGCUAAAUAACAUAUGAUGAAUCAAAAGAAGCUCCGAAGUGGUGUGCAACAUUUGAGACAACAAUCAAAGAAAAAUGAUUGCUAAAGCAGAUACAGUUCAUGUGAGUGAUCUCAGCAUAAAUAAUAUGCUGCAUUAUUGCUGUCAGGAAGGGAAUAUUGACAUGAUGUUGCAAGGUAGCGACAACCAUCUAACUCUGUUCCCAUAUUGCUUUGAAGUUUACUUCUUAGUACUAUGUAUUCUGAGAGGUUUUUUACGGUACCCUGGUACUCCUUUUCCCUAGACGGAGUACCCGUCAAAUCUAACCAUGAGUUCCAGUGUUUUUUCCCCAUGCAGCUGCCAAAUGCUCUCUUCCAGAAAAAAUCUUAUGCACCAGUUACCCAUUUAGAACCUUCACUGAUUCCAUGGACUCACUUCAUACCAUACACAUUCUAAUACAGCUCCCACCUCCCGCUGAAUACUCUUAAUUCCACUUCUCUGAACUACUCUACUUCGGGGUUUCACUGACGGCAACCAUGGAAAAUUGUACAGUCUAUACCAAAACAACCCAUAUCCGCGUGCUGAAUCCAGUCCCCAAAUUAGUAGUAAUCUAAUUAUUUGGCUAACAGCUUUCACAUAAAGUGCGUGUCAGCUAAUUAUACCUUUGUGGCCAUCCUGGGAGCCUGUGGAUCAACUUGCUCUAAGGAGACCGGUGCGCCGUCGGUAUGUCACUGUCAUUCACUUUAUGAGUGUUCUAUACAGCAUGAACACAGCGACGACAGGAAAAGUUAGAUCUUGGACCUAAUCCAAACCCAAAUCCAAAUCAUGACCGACCAAACUGUCACAGAGGGCAAGAUUAGCACUUGUGGAAGGCUGCAGCAAGAACUCCAUCACCGCUGGAGCCGGGGCACCAUAACCCUAGGGAGAUGGUGGUGCCGCCGCCGAGCCGCUCGCAAUACUACCACACCAGCAAGCGGUCGAGGUAGGAGGCAGUUCGCCCCACCUACCCAUAUUUGCAUUUACUCCAGCGUAAUGAUGUCGUAAGCAGAACUGAUCCACGGAUCAGGAAUCCGCUGACGAUCAGGGUGCCGGAUCUGAAGUCAAUUCGCCACGGCCUGGAACGGACACGUCGUUCAGACCCACCGUCCAGGAGAACUUUUCCAUUUCGUUUUAUAUUCCAUGUGGUCUGCCGGGACCAGCACCGGUCACGUGUGCCUGCUAAAAUGAAUCACAAGAACAUAUUCGGCGGGAUAGAUUCCGAGAGCCUGUGUGCUCGUGAUCAAUUCCUCCGCGUCCAAAAGCUGCAUGCUCUCCUCUCCUAGUAAUAACCGAUCGCUGGCCAUCAGCCAACAAAGGACGGCGGUGUCCGCCAUACAACCCAUCGUCCUUUUCAUUUAUUGAUGACAUGAUGCAACACGUCAUCUUACCACCUCUUCUGUGGAAGUAAUUUGCGUCUAUAAAGUACCAUCAAAUGUGGCUUACUAGGUACUUGCAUAUUCAUCAGCCACAAGCCGAGGAAAGUUCCAGUACCACCCGUCAAAAUGGGGAGGGUUGAGCCCGCAGGUGCCAUCGCCGGCAGCACGAAGGCAUCCUGGCCGGAGGUGGUGGGCUGGCCGGCGCACGAUGCAGCGCUCCAGAUCAGCAAGGACAGGCCUGACGUCUCCAUCUCCUUCUACAUAGGCACGGGACGCUGGCCGCCGAGCCCGUACCCCUCGCGUGUCGUCGUGGUGUCAGACACGGCGACCGGCGUGGUCGUCCAGACGCCCGUCGUCGGUUAGGCCGCAUGCACCCCUUGUGCCUGCACAGGGAUACGUACAGUAGUAUCGUAUUUGCGUUGCUGCAGUUGCACAACAUAUGAAUAAGAUCCAACAUUUGAAAGCAUGUUCCAAUUCGAGGCAAUGGGGUGCAUGAAUAAAAUCCAACAUUUGAAAGCAGGUUUCAUUACGUGGAUGAUACAGUUCUAUGAUUUUCAUAUUUGUCUUCUCUAGCAAUCGUCAUGCAUUAUCAUACAUGUAGCAUAUAUAGGUUCAGUUGUUGCGUCUCUAACAUCAGGUUCAGGUCCACUUGUUGAAGAGAACUUAGAUUGAUUUCUAUUUCCACUAAUUACGUUUGAUUUAUAUAUAGUGUGUGACAUCUGACACCCUCAACUCGAGGUAAAAACAUGUGCGGUGUGGAACUAGGUUGUUUCCGUUCUAUGGUCAACCUAGCUAACGUACUGGCGGCACCUGCGGUGACCCGAUCUACCACCCCUUAACUCCUUCGCCUGCUCCUCCCCUCAUCGCCACCGGAGACCAGCGCCGGGCAAAACCUGUGCGAUGGCGGCCACGGAGGGGCCUCUCGUGGCGAGAAGGUGGUUGGCGGUUCCCAGCAUUUGACGGCGUGUGUAGCAGUGGGCGGAGGAGCCCCGGCGGCGUCCGUCGGAUGGUUGAUGGCGGCGCAGAGUGCUCUACCUUGGCCUGACAGUUCCAGCAUUGUCUGAUCUCUCUCGAGUUGCGUAUUGUGCUGACCAUCAUAGGGUCUUCGCGUGCCAACAGUGGUGAUAUGGCUUUGGUGCUUCAGUUCAGGCUAUAUUGGCCCUGAGCCGACUUGACUGGGGAGCUAUCUCCGACGAGGUGUUGGUCCUUAUGGUGACCACCCCGCCCAGACUAUGAUGGCAUACUCACUGUGAAGUGCGACGACAACCGAAAGGUCUUCGUGAGGGUUCCUCGCUAUGGAUCCGGUGUUUGACUUCGGAAGGGAGAUACAAACUAUGGACGACGGCUUGUCGCGGAGGGAUGGUUGUACAACGGCGAUGGUUGCACAUCGCGUGAAGUUGCUGGGACCACAGAAAGUGAUGGCAACAACACAUAAGUGAUGUUGAUGGUGGUGCUUAUCCAGCACCCAUUCCUGAGCUCCAGGGUGAAAACCUAGGUCUACCACUAUUUGGUUAUACCUGGCAAUGGCAAUAUUUUUACAUCGCAACAUUCUUGAAGGCAUUGCUCGGAUAUGUUCGGUUUGAUUCUUCAGUGUGAAAACCUAGAUUCUGGCCUUGGGUGGUUCGAUCUGUUGACGGCCGCACUUGAGCGUCGCUCCCUUCUUGAAGGCGAUGGUGUUCAAGAAUCUCGUCUGUGUGGCAUCAUGAGAUGGUUGAUGUGGAAAUGGUCCUUGAUGUACUUUGCGAAACAUAGAUCUGAUCGCUUUGUGUAUUUUGUUUUCUCGCCAACGCAUAGCUUUGGUCUUAUUUAACUUUGCUAUUUGCCGGCGUGUUCUGUGUGUGCAUACGUUGGUGUUGACUGUGUGCAUUCUAACUAUGCAGAGGCUGGAUGUGUGCUCAUUAUGUUUGUUUUCUCUUGAGGCUCCAUUUUAAGCCAAUAAAAUACAUCCUUUGUCAAAAACAAAAAAAGCUAAUGUACUGGCCAUAAGAAUGGGGUACCUAUUCGUUCAUAUGACAUUUGGCUGGCCUUGACAUUGCGAGAAGGCAAAACAAACUGGCGUAGAUGUUGUUGUUUGGGAACGUAGCAGAAAUUCAAAAUUUUCUACGCAUCACCAAGAUCAAUCUAUGGAGUAAUCUAGCAACGAGGGGAAGGGGAGUGCAUCUACAUACCCUUGUAGAUCGCGAUGCGGAAGCGUUGCAAGAACGCGGAUGAGGGAGUCGUACUCGUAGCGAUUCAGAUCGCGGUUGAUUCCGAUCUAAGCACCGAACCACGGCGUCUCCGCGUUCAACACACGUGCAGCCCGGUGACGUCUCCCACGCCUUGAUCCAGCAAGGAGAGAGGGAGAGGUUGGGGAAGAC
RNAcentral lists this long non-coding RNA (26439 nucleotides) under Triticum aestivum (bread wheat). The record is from RNAcentral. Lineage: Eukaryota; Viridiplantae; Streptophyta; Magnoliopsida; Poales; Poaceae.